AUGUUUAAUUUCUUUUCAGGCGAGGGAGCAUCAAUUGAUCAGCUUGUGAACUGGAUUGUGACCGCUCAAGAAGCUAAAACUGAGGAAACUGCUGAAUUGCUGCCUGAGGUAAUGGAUAAACCACUUUCUUUGCUCAAGAUGGGUUUCAAUAAAGAAGAGGUCUCAGCUGUGAUUGCUAUUUUCGGUGAGGAAGCAACAGUCGAGGAGUUGGCUGACUCGAUAUUUGCAAGACGCUUCUCAAAUACCACUGAGCAGAAAAAGGUGAAGAUAGAGUCUGAAUUUCCGGACGAGACAGAAACUGGGUAUUCAACAUCGAGAUUGAGGUUCUAUGAUGAUGAGGAUGAUGCCAACAUCAGAUGUAAAAAGGCCAAGCAUGCAUUUGGAGAUGACAGAAGGGCGUCAAGCAGUCAGAAUGUUAAUCAAUCUAGCCGCACUCCAUGGUUAAGUCGUUGUUCUGGGUCAAUUGCUAAUGGUUCUCUGAAGGAUGAAGAUGUUGAAAGGACAUCAAGCCCUGGUAGAAAUAUCCACGGUGACCUUGUCAAACCUCCCUUCUUCAUCUAUGCAAGUCUGGUUGACAUCACCAAAGAAACUUGGAAUACCUUAUCGAGUUUCUUAUUCAAUGUUCAACCGGAGUAUCUAAACAGUCAGUCCUUCUCAGCUCUAACGCGAAGGGAGGGUUACAUUCAUAACCUUCCAACGGAGGGAAGGCAUGUUGCUGUUCCAAGUUCACCAAUGACGAUCAGAGAUGCAUUACCUUUGACAAGGCAGUUCUGUCCCUCCUGGGACACGAGAAAACGGAUUGAUGGUGUUGGCUUAGAUGUGGCAGGAACUGAACAGAUUCGUGCGAAGCUGGAGAAGGCAAUGAGAGAUUCACGAGGAAUUCUUUCAGAAGUGAAGCAAGCACAGAUUGUCCAACAAUGCAAGACGGCGAAUCUUGUCUGGAUCGGUCAAGGCAAGUUAGGCCCUCUGCAGCCACACCAGAUGGAAGCGAUACUAGGCUAUCCAGCUAACCACACAGAUCUGCCGGGCAUAGACCCACACGACAAGGUUGCUUCUUUGAGGUAUGCCUUGCAGACAGACACCAUGGCAUACAUUUUGUCGGUCCUAAAGGACCGGUAUCCUGAUGGGCUGAGGGUCCUCUCUAUUUUCAGUGGAGUUGGGGGUGCAGAAGUUGCUCUACACCGUCUUGGCAUCCCGCUGAGAUGCGUGGUGUCCGUAGAGGAGUCUGUGGUGAACCGUAGAGUUCUAAAGAGGUGGUGGGGGGAAACCCAGCAGAAUGGAAAGCUGAGACAACUGGAUAGGAUCCAGAAGCUAGAUACUAAGGAGUUUGAGGCCCUGAUGAAAGAGUUUGGUGGUUUUGACCUGAUUGUUGGCGGAAAUUAUGGUCUGUACAGAGGCGCAGCGAUGACAGUGGGCACAGCCAUGGGUAUGGACACCAGUCGGUUCUUUGAGUAUGUCCGCAUUGUCCAGAUGGUGAGAAGAAAAAUGCAAGGAAUUGCCUGA
Molecule: ribosomal RNA, 1503 nt
Filed under: Triticum aestivum (bread wheat)
Lineage: Eukaryota; Viridiplantae; Streptophyta; Magnoliopsida; Poales; Poaceae
Description: partial small subunit ribosomal RNA
Source: RNAcentral